GCCGCGUGAGUGAAGAAGGCCUUCGGGUUGUAAAGCUCUGUCGGAAGGGACAAAAACUAUUAGGUUAAUAGCCUAUGUAAUUGAUGGUACUUUAAAGGAAGCACCGGCUAACUUCGUGCCAGCAGCCGCGGUAAUACGAAGGGUGCAAGCGUUGCUCGGAAUUAUUGGGCGUAAAGGGUAGGUAGGUGGUUACGUAUGUCUGGGGUGAAAUCCCUGAGCUUAACUCAGGAAGUGCCUUGGAAACGGCGUAACUAGAGUGCUAGAGAGGUUCGUGGAAUUCCCAGUGUAGCGGUGAAAUGCGUAGAGAUUGGGAGGAACACCAGAGGCGACGGCGGCGAACUGGAUAGCAACUGACACUGAACUACGAAAGCGUGGGUAGCAAACAGGAUUAGAUACCCUGAUAGUCCACGCUGUAAACGAUGGGUACUAGGCUUCGUGGGAAUUGACCCCUGCGGAGCCGGAGCUAACGCAAUAAGUAGCCCGCCUGGGAAGUACGGUCGCAAGACUAAAACUCAAAGGAAUUGACGGGAGACCGCACAAAGCGGUGGAUUAUGUGGUUUAAUUCAAGCAACGCGCAG
Molecule: ribosomal RNA, 578 nt
Filed under: uncultured archaeon
Lineage: Archaea
Description: bacterial SSU rRNA
Rfam family: Bacterial small subunit ribosomal RNA
Source: RNAcentral